Molecule: ribosomal RNA, 273 nt
Filed under: uncultured bacterium
Lineage: Bacteria
Description: partial 16S ribosomal RNA
Rfam family: Bacterial small subunit ribosomal RNA
Source: RNAcentral
UACGGAGGAUCCAAGCGUUAUCCGGAAUCAUUGGGUUUAAAGGGUCCGUAGGUGGACGGUUAAGUCAGGGGUGAAAGUCUGCAGCUCAACUGUAGAAUUGCCUUUGAUACUGGUCGUCUUGAGUUAUUGUGAAGUGGUUAGAAUAUGUAGUGUAGCGGUGAAAUGCAUAGAUAUUACAUAGAAUACCGAUUGCGAAGGCAGAUCACUAACGAUACACUGACACUGAUGGACGAAAGCGUGGGUAGCGAACAGGAUUAGAAACCCCAGUAGUCC